RNAcentral lists this ribosomal RNA (254 nucleotides) under uncultured bacterium. RNAcentral's name for it is "partial 16S ribosomal RNA". It matches the Rfam family "Bacterial small subunit ribosomal RNA", at positions 524 to 776 of the family's 1533-position model. The record is from RNAcentral.
UACGUAGGGGCCUAGCGUUGUCCGGAUUUAUUGGGCGUAAAGAGCUCGUAGGCGGUUCGGUAAGUCAGGUGUGAAAUCUCCACGCUCAACGUGGAGGCGCCACCUGAAACUGCCGUGACUCGAGUCCGGUAGGGGAGUGUGGAAUUCCCGGUGUAGUGGUGAAAUGCGUAGAUAUCGGGAGGAACACCAGUGGCGAAGGCGACUACCUGGCCUGUUCUUGACGCUGAGGCGCGAAAGCUAGGGGAGCAAACGGG